GAUGAACGCUGGCGGCGUGCCUAAUACAUGCAAGUCGAGCGAACGGACGAGAAGCUUGCUUCUCUGAUGUUAGCGGCGGACGGGUGAGUGACACGUGGAUAACCUACCUAUAAGACUGGGAUAACUUCGGGAAACCGGAGCUAAUACCGGAUAAUAUUUUGAACCGCAUGGUUCAAAAGUGAAAGACGGUCUUGCUGUCACUUAUAGAUGGAUCCGCGCUGCAUUAGCUAGUUGGUAAGGUAACGGCUUACCAAGGCAACGAUGCAUAGCCGACCUGAGAGGGUGAUCGGCCACACUGGAACUGAGACACGGUCCAGACUCCUACAGGAGGCAGCAGUAGGGAAUCUUCCGCAAUGGGCGAAAGCCUGACGGAGCAACGCCGCGUGAGUGAUGAAGGUCUUCGGAUCGUAAAACUCUGUUAUUAGGGAAGAACAUAUGUGUAAGUAACUGUGCACAUCUUGACGGUACCUAAUCAGAAAGCCACGGCUAACUACGUG
This 497-nucleotide ribosomal RNA is filed under the name uncultured bacterium. RNAcentral's name for it is "partial 16S ribosomal RNA". It matches the Rfam family "Bacterial small subunit ribosomal RNA", at positions 28 to 507 of the family's 1533-position model. The record is from RNAcentral.